This 253-nucleotide ribosomal RNA is filed under the name uncultured bacterium. RNAcentral's name for it is "partial 16S ribosomal RNA". It matches the Rfam family "Bacterial small subunit ribosomal RNA", at positions 524 to 776 of the family's 1533-position model. The record is from RNAcentral.
UACGUAGGUGACAAGCGUUGUCCGGAUUUACUGGGCGUAAAGAGCGCGCAGGCGGUCGAUCAAGUCGAGUGUGAAAGCCCCCGGCUCAACUGGGGAGGGUCAUUCGAUACUGAUCGACUCGAAGGCAGGAGAGGGUAGUGGAAUUCCCGGUGUAGUGGUGAAAUGCGUAGAUAUCGGGAGGAACACCAGUGGCGAAGGCGACUACCUGGCCUGUUCUUGACGCUCAGGCACGAAAGCGUGGGGAGCAAACAGG